GUUGACAAAAGUCUGCCCUUGUCAGUCUUGUCCCUUCGGUGACCCAGUCUUUCAAUCAAAACUUUCCCUCGAACAUCCUUUCAUCCUUCCUAUUUCUUCUUGUUACAUCGCGGAUCUCGAACGUAGAGAAAUGAAACACCUUUGAGGAACCGUGUCUUUCGAAACUGACCUCGACUUGUGAUACACUCCGUGCACGAGUUUCACUCAUCUUUUCCAGGAGCUCGCUUUUCAUCCUUCCUCUCGAUUUAGAGAUUAAGAUGGACGUUUUUAAAAACGGAUGCUUGUAGACCCGAAGAUUGUUUUUAGGGUGUGUGUUACCGUAGUGCUGUGUUUCUUUUUUGCACACCCUAUAAAAUUUUGAGAUCACCGUGGACGAAACAAUGACGGACAAAAUAUUUCAGAAAUGAGGAUUUGAAAGUUUGAAAAUUAAAUUUUCACUUUACU
Molecule: unclassified non-coding RNA, 444 nt
Filed under: Bombus terrestris (buff-tailed bumblebee)
Lineage: Eukaryota; Metazoa; Arthropoda; Insecta; Hymenoptera; Apidae
Description: misc RNA ENSBTSG00005035779.1
Source: RNAcentral